CAGACAUUUAGCAUCAUUAACCUUUUCAUCAUGCUCUCAACUACCAUUUGUUUAUGCUCUGAACUCCAAAAGGGAAUUCACAGCUUUCUGCCCCUGAGAAGGCACCAGAAGGCCUCCUGCAUGCUACAGUGGCCCGCCAAGACCUCCAGGGCUGAGGGCACCAGUAGAGCAGCUUCGGCACACAUCUUCAGUGUGGUCUCCUGGCUUCCACUGGCAGGUUCACCUAUUUGAAAGGCAGAAUGGCAGAGAGAAGAUCUUACAUCUGUUGAUCCCCCCACCCCAAAUGACCACAAUGGAUGUGGCUGAAGCCAGCAGCCCAGAACUCCAGCUGAG
This is a non-coding RNA of Oryctolagus cuniculus (rabbit), 333 nucleotides long. The record is from RefSeq and is a predicted model, not a curated record. NCBI's taxonomy places the organism in Eukaryota, Metazoa, Chordata, Mammalia, Lagomorpha, Leporidae.